RNAcentral lists this ribosomal RNA (253 nucleotides) under uncultured bacterium. RNAcentral's name for it is "partial 16S ribosomal RNA". It matches the Rfam family "Bacterial small subunit ribosomal RNA", at positions 524 to 776 of the family's 1533-position model. The record is from RNAcentral.
UACGUAGGGUGCAAGCGUUAAUCGGAAUUACUGGGCGUAAAGAGCGUGUAGGCGGCCAUGCAGGUCCGCUGUGAAAACUCGAGGCUCAACCUCGAGACGUCGGUGGAAACCGCAUGGCUAGAGUCCGGAAGAGGAGAGUGGAAUUCCCGGUGUAGCGGUGAAAUGCGCAGAUAUCGGGAAGAACACCCGUGGCGAAGGCGGCUCUCUGGGACGGUACUGACGCUGAGACGCGAAAGCGUGGGGAGCGAACAGG